GGAUUCCCCUAGUAACUGCGAGUGAAGCGGGAAAAGCUCAAAUUUAAAAUCUGGCGGUCUUUGGCCGUCCGAGUUGUAGUCUGGAGAAGUGCUUUCCGCGCUGGACCGUGUACAAGUCUCUUGGAACAGAGCGUCAUAGAGGGUGAGAAUCCCGUCUUUGACAUGGACUACCAGUGCUUUGUGAUGCGCUCUCAAAGAGUCGAGUUGUUUGGGAAUGCAGCUCAAAAUGGGUGGUGAAUUCCAUCUAAAGCUAAAUAUUGGCGAGAGACCGAUAGCGAACAAGUACCGUGAGGGAAAGAUGAAAAGCACUUUGGAAAGAGAGUUAAACAGUACGUGAAAUUGCUGAAAGGGAAACGCUUGAAGUCAGUCGCGUUGUCCGGAACUCAGCCUUGCUUCGGCUUGGUGCAUUUUCCGGGCGACGGGCCAGCAUCGAUUUUGACCGUCGGAAAAGGGCUGAGGGAAUGUGGCACCUUCGGGUGUGUUAUAGCCUUCAGUCGCAUACGGCGGUUGGGAUCGAGGAACGCAGCACGCCUUAUGGCUGGGGUUCGCCCACAUUCGUGCUUAGGAUGCUGGCAUAAUGGCUUUAAACGACCCGUCUUGAAACACGGACCAAGGAGUCUAACAUGCCUGCGAGUGUUUGGGUGGAAAACCCGAGCGCGUAAUGAAAGUGAAAGUUGAGACCUCUGUCGUGGAGGGCAUCGACGCCCGGACCUGACGUUCUCUGACGGAUCCGCGGUAGAGCAUGUAUGUUGGGACCCGAAAGAUGGUGAACUAUGCCUGAAUAGGGUGAAGCCAGAGGAAACUCUGGUGGAGGCUCGUAGCGAUUCUGACGUGCAAAUCGAUCGUCAAAUUUGGGUAUAGGGGCGAAAGACUA
RNAcentral lists this ribosomal RNA (874 nucleotides) under Trametes gibbosa. RNAcentral's name for it is "eukaryotic LSU rRNA". It matches the Rfam family "Eukaryotic large subunit ribosomal RNA", at positions 72 to 933 of the family's 3401-position model. The record is from RNAcentral. Lineage: Eukaryota; Fungi; Basidiomycota; Agaricomycetes; Polyporales; Polyporaceae.